UGUAGUGGUAUCUCAGAGUUGUCUUAAUUUGCAUUUCUCAUCAAUAGUGAUUUGGAACACUCUUUCAUAUGAGUGGAAAUAGUUUCAAUUUCAUCAUCUGAAAAUUGUCAGUUCAUAAUUGGAGAAUGGCUUUAUUUCUUAUAAAUUAGAGUCAAUUCUCUAUAUAUUUUGGAAAUGAGGAAUGGCCUACCUUUUUUUUUUAACCUUUUUAUUUUAUUUUAUAAUAACUUUAUAUUGACAGAAUCCAUGCCAGGGUAAUUUUUUUUACAUUAUCCCUUGCACUCGCUUCUGUUCCGAUUUUUCCCCUCCCUCCCUGUACCGCCCCCCCCCCCAGAUGGCAAGCAGUCCUAUAUAUAUGUUAGAUAUGUUGCAGUAUAUCCUAGAUAUAAUAUAUGUUUGCAGAACCAGACAGUUCUCUUGUUGCACAGGGAGAAUUGGAUUCAGAAGGUAAAAAUAACCCAGGAAGAAAAACAAAAAUGCAAAUAGUUCACAUUCGUUUCCUAGCGUUCUUUCUUUGGGUGUAGCUGCUUCUGUCCAUCAUUUAUCAAUUGAAACUCAGUUAGGUGUCUUUGUCAAAGAAAUCCACUUCCAUAGAAUACAUUCUCAUACAGUAUCAUUGUCGAAGUGUAUAAUGAUCUCCUGGUUCUGCUCAUUUCACUUAGCAUCAGUUCAUGUAAGUCUCUCCAAGCCUCUCUGUAUUCAUUCUGCUGGUCAUUUCUUACAGAACAAUAGUAUUCCAUAACAUUCAUAUACCACAAUUUACCCAGCCAUUCUGCAGUUGAUGGGCAUCCAUUCAAUUUCCAAUUUCUAGCCACUACAAGCAGGGCUGCCACAAACAUUUUGGCACAUACAGGUCCCUUUCCCUUCUUUAGUAUCUCUUUGGGGUAUGAGCCCAGUAGUAGCACUGCUGGAUCAAAGGAUAUGCACAGAUGGCCUACCUUUCUAAGAUCAUUGAGGAUCAGGUGAAGUAAUUACCAAUUCCUGAAGGAUUUGCUUUAACCAUUUCUCUCUCACCUGUCUUACCAUUAUUCCUGCUCUCUUGGACUAUAGAAAUAGCAUAAGUGCUCUUUUCUAUUUUUCUACAUAUCAGAUUUGUGAAUAGAGCUAAUGUUAUUUUAAAUCAUCAAUAACCACUUCUGGUCCAUCUAGAUCUGGCAUUUAAAACCUUCUAAAGUCUGGUGCUAUUGAGCUUUUCAUACUUUUCUCAUAUUUGUAUGCCACAGUCAAACUCGUCUUUAUUUAACCAACUCUCCCUUACUUACCACUACCUAUGAUCAGAUCUAUUGAAUUUCCUAUUGAAUAGAAAUCCAUUCUUUAAAGGACAGUUUAAAUAUUAUGUCCAUGCAGCCUUUCCACACUUUCCUUUUCUCAAAUUGGUAAUGACUUUCUUAUAGAGCUUAUGGUGCAUUUUGUUGUAUAGUUCCCUAAUGUGGUUACGGUUAUUGUUAUCUAUAUUUGGAUCUUAACAAUUUUUAAUCAUUUUUGUUGUAAAAACAAUAUAUACCAAAAAAAAGAAAAUCUUUGUCACUUCACUUCAAUUUACCUCCUAUUCCCCUUCUCAGUGUAAGAUUUUUCUGUAGCCCCUCUGAUAUUUACUCUACAUCUUUGUUGGUUUAAUAGGAAAUCUUUUUUCUCCCAUCCUCCCAUUACAAUAUAAACUCUUUGAAGUUUAUAUUUGAAGAUACCAAGUCUUCUUAAAACACUAUCUUCCCGAGCAGUGAUCCUGAUGAUAAAAUAGGAGCUUAAUAAAUGUUUGCUUAUUCUUAAGGAAAUACAUAAAUCAUCUAUGUACUAUGAACAUAUUGGUUCAAAUAUAGACUAUGUCCCCAAAAUGAGAUCUCUCUUUUUUAAAUUAUAUUUUAUUUUUCCAAAUAGAUACAAAGAUAGUUUUUAGUAUUCACCUUUGCAAAACCUUAUGUUCCAAAUUUUUCUCCCUCUCUUUCCUCCCCAAGACAGUCAGCAAUCUGAUACAGGUUAAAUAUUUGCAAUUCUUCUAAAUAUAUUUCCAUAUUUAUCAUGUUGAGCAAAAGAAAAAAAAAAUCAGAUCAAAAGGGAAAAAACUUGAGAAAAAAAAAAGUAAAUGAACAACAGCAACAACAAAGUGAAUAUGUUAUGCUUUGAUCCACAUUCAUUCUUCUUAGUGCUCUCUCUGGAUGUGGAUGGUACUUUCUAUCACAAAUUGAUAGAUUGAAAUUGCCUUGAAUCACCUCAGCAUAAUAGAAUCUUGGUGAAGAAAAAAUGUUUAUAUAAAAAGAAGGAAAAGGACCCACGUAUGCAAAAAUAUUUGUAGCAGCUCUUUUUUGUGGUAGCAAAGAAUUGGAAAAUGAGUAGAUGUCCGAAUGGCUGAACAAGUUGUGAUAUAUGAAGGUAAUGGAAUAUUUUUAUUCCCUAAAAAAUGAUGAACAAGCUGAUUUUAGAAAGAUCUGGAAAGAUUUAUAUGGAACUGAUGUGGAGUAAAAGAAGCAGAACCACAAAUACAUUAUACACAAUACCAGCAAGAACGUACAAGGAUUGACUAUGAAAGACUUGGUUCUUCUUAGUAGUUCGGUGAUUCAAAGCAAUCCCAAUAGACUUUGGAUAGAAAAUGCCAUCUGCAUCCAUAGAGAUUGAAUGUAAAGCAACAUAUGCCUUGUUCACCUCUUUUUUCUUUUUUCUGUUUUUUUUUUUUUUUAAUCUCUCCCAUGCUUUUUUCCUUUUGCUCUGAUUUUUCUCUCCUAAUAUGAUUCAUAAAGCAAUAUGUAUUAAAAAUAAAUAAAUUUACCAGGAUUAAAAAAAGGAAAAUAUUCAUAAAGCUAUCAGAAAAUAAUCACUCAUAAUUAUCAUAUAAUUUAUAUGCAUGGCCAAUGCUAAGCACUAAGUGAAGAUGAUCAGUCACAUUACUUGCCAUCAAGGAACUUUAAAUUGAGAUUGGAGAUUCCAACAUAUACAUGUAGAAUCAUAAUACUAUCAGACAAAUGAGAGACCAUGGGUAAUUUUGGGAUGUUUAGGAAGAGAGUAAAGAAUUAAUGUUUUUGCACACUGCUAUAAAUCAGUUAUGAAUAUAGAAUAUAAAAUAAAAGCUACAUAACAUAGUGAAUAGAAGAUGUGAUAUUAGAUACUGACUCUAGGACCAUGUGCAAAUCAUUUAAACCUCAUUGCACCAAACAGCUGAUGAGUUAAAGAUAAGUUUGAUGUACAUUGAUGGGAGUUUUCAUGUCAAUAGUUCCUAAUACUAAUAAAAUCACAGAUCUGAAUUUUAAUUUAAAAAAAGAAAAAAAGCACAGACUAGAAAAUCCUGGAUUUUCAGUCAACAAUCAUUUAUUAAAUAUUGCCCAGUGCGCCCUUAUCUUAAGUCUUUUCAAAUUAGCUUUUUAAUCAUCAUCAUCAAUAAGCAAUUUUAUAGAGAAAGGCAAAAAAAAAAAAUGACCAUCCUCUCCUUAAGGAGUUCAUGUUUAAUGGGGAAAAAGAUAUGCAAACUGUCCUAUAUAUAAGAUAUAUACAGAAUAGAAGGAAAGUAUCAGCAUCAUAGGGAAUCAGCAAAGCUAGGAGGCAGAUAUGAGGAGGGGAGAGUAUUCCAAGUCUGGGGGUAAAAAUGCUGAGAGUCUGGAGAUGAAAUAUGUAAUGUAUCUAGCAAGGAAACAAGUAUUGCUGGAUUAUAAAGUACAUGGAGUGGGUUAAAGCAUAAUAAGACUGGAAAAAUAGAAAGAAAUAAAAUUGUGAAGAAUCCUUAAAUGCCAACAUAAGUAUUUUGUAUUUGAUUCUGGAGAUAAUAGAAAACCACUAAUUUAUAGGGGGAAGAGCGAUAACAUGCUAUGCUUUAGAAAAAGGCACUUUGAUAGCUAUGUGGAGAAUAGGUUAGAGUGAACAGAAAUGUGAGGCAGGGAGACCAUCCAGAAAAUUAUUGGAAUAGUCCAGGUAUGAGGGGUCUGAAGGAAGGUAGUAGGUGUGUGAGUCAAAAGAAGAGAGAUAUUUUGAGAUAAAAAUAGUAAGUUCUGUUAACAGAUUGGAUUGGUGGGCUAAGUGAUAGUGAAUAGUUGAUGAUACCAAGUUUGCAAGCCUGACUGACUGGUAAGAUUGUGGUGCUUUCCACAGUGAUAGGGAAGUUGGAAAGAGAGAAAGGUUUAGAGGGAAAAUUGUUCAGUUAUUUUUCAAUCAUCCAACUUUUCGUCACUCCAUUUGGGAUUUUCUUGGCAAAGACACUGGAGUGAUUUGUUAUUCCUUCUCCGGUUCAUUUUGCAAAUGAAGAAAUGUAGGCAAACAGAGUAAAUGACUUGUCCAGUAUCACAUGGCUACCAAGUCUGAGGUCAUAUUUGAACUUGGAUCUUCCUGAGUACAGAUCUGGUGCUCUAUAUACUGCCCUACCUACCUGUCCUGUGAAUAGGUAAUAAGUCACUUUAAAAAUUGUGAUUUAAGAAUUGUGAUCUUCUUCAUGCUAAUCUUUCCAUUUGAUAUUAUUUCCCUUUUAUCCUAUGGAUAUCUUGUUUGAACAUAAUGUUUUUUGUGUCUACCCAUUUAGACAAUAUGCUCCUUGAAAAUUGGGGCUGUUUUUACAGUUCUUUGUCUGUCUAGAACAUUGCCUCCCAUAUAUUAGGAGCUUUUUUUGUUGACUUUCCUAUAAGGGAGUGAUGUCUAUGAGUGGAGAAUGGGGGUGUACACAAUAUCUGUUGUAGGUGGUGCAUUGGCUGCAAUGCUGGACCUGAGUUCAGAUUCUGCCUCAGGCUGAUAUUAACUAUGUGACCUAGGGCAGGCCUCUCUAAGCCUCGGUUUCUUCAUUAGUAAAAUGGAGCUAAUAAUAGCCCCUGGGCAGGUAGAUGGCACAGGGGAUUGAGAACCAGACCUGAAAUCAUUAAGAUUCAUCUUCUUGUGUUCAAAUCUGGCUUCAGAUACUUAGAAGCCAUCUCAUCCUGAACAAGUCACUUAACAAUGUUUACCUGAGUUUCCUCCUCUGUAAAAUAGGCUGGAGAAGGAAAUGACAAACCACUCCAGUAUCUUUGUUAAGAAAAUUCCAAGCAGGGUCAUGAGGACAAGUUGGACUUGACUAAAAAAAACUACUGACCAGCAACAAAAUAGCACUUACCUUACCAAGUUGUUGUGAAGAUCAAAUGAAUUAACAUAUAAGAUAAAGUGCUUUGCAGACCUCAAAGCACUAGGUAAAUGCUACCUAUUAUUAUUAUUAUUAUCAUCAUAUGACAAGAAUUUUUGAAUUUUUAGUGUAUGUGUUAGAAAGGAAUCAUCAAGGAUGGUUAUUGGGAGAAUAGUAUUCUUGAUAGUAAUAGGAUAAUUGGAAAGAGUUGGGAGGAAAGAUAAAAUUUUGUUUUGAAUCAAUUGUGUUUGAAAUACUUAUGGAAUAUCCUUUAAAAUGUUCAUUAGACAACUGUGAUAUAAGGCUGGAAUUUAGCAAACAAGUUAUGGGUGUAUGUGUUCCAAAUUCAAAGAUAUGGAAUCAGCUGUAUAGAGAUGAUGAGAUUACCAAGUAAAAUAGAGGAAAAGAACUGGUUCCAGGACUGCCUCAGGGGAUAUCCAGGGUUAACAUCUAGAUCUUGUUGAAGGGUACUGAAAGGAAGAGUCAAAGGAAGAGAGAACUAAAAAAGAGAGGAGUAUUAUGAAAAGAGAGAAGAGUUUCCAGAAGAGUAUGAUUUUAGUGUUAUAAAGGGUGCAGAGAGGUUAAGAAAGCUGAAUUAAGAAAAGGCCAUCAGAUUUUUUUGCAAUUAAGAGAAAACUGGGGGGGGGUAGAGUCAAGAUGGCAGAGAGGACACAUGUUUCAUUCUGAGUUCCCCUUAUAUCUUCACUACUAAUUACCAAUGAAAUAGUGCUUGACUGAUAUCCAUGACAUGAAUCCAUGAAUAUUGGGAGUACUACAAAUUACCAGGUGAAGAUCGCCAGAAAAAGUCUGUCUUGAUCAGGCGGGAGGAGGUCAGCAUAGGCAAGGAAGAAGAACACAGAGGCUAGUGCAGGCUGAGCAGACCAGGGAGGGGUGCGGUCUCCUCAGGUGGAGAAUUUGCAGGGAGGACUCUACCACAGGUUGUCUGCUCUACUUUGGUUGCAAAGUAGUAGAUCAGCAGAAAAGUUACACAAAUGCCAAAGGUAGAGUGUACCCCCAAAAUGCCAGAAUUUAACAGAACCUGGCUACACUCACCAGCACCAGGAGUGACUCAGCACAACCACAGCGCAGCUGCAUUCCCCAAGAAGGGGCUUUGUCCAGGGCAGUCACACUUCUCUUGAAGGGGACUCUUCCCAGGACAGUCACACUUCUGCAGUGUUGGGACUCUUCCCAGGGCAGUCACACUUCCACAGCUCUGCCGCUCUUUGCAGGUCGUUCACAGGACAUCUACUGUCCAUCUGUCCCUGUUUUGUAGAGGAAGCUGGGGACCUCCUUGCCCUGAAGGCAGGCCUCAAGGGCUUUAAAAAAAAAAAAAAACGAGUAAAAAAAGCAAAGUGAAUUCUAACUAUAGAUAGCUUCUAUACAGAAAGAGAGCAGAUUUCCAACUUUGAGGAGACUCACAGCAGAAGUCUCCAGACAAAACCCCAAAGAGGGAUAUAACUUGGUCCCCAUCACACAAGGCUCUCCUAGAAGAAAUUAUAAAAGAUCUUAAAAGAGAGCUAGAAGAAAAAUGGGAAUAGGAAAGAGAAGCUCUACAAGAGAGUAUGGAAAAGGCAUGUAACUCAUUAAAGAAAGAUUUGAUAAAGUGGAAAAAGAAAAUAACUUCCUGAAAUGUGAACUGGAAAAGGUAAAGAAUUCCCAGGGAAACAGAAUUUGUGAAUUUGAAAAGAUAAAGAACUCCAGGAAAAUAGGACUUGUGAUUUGGAAAAAGAAAAUAACUCAUUAAAAAAAAAGUUAAUGAAAUGGAAAAAAAAUUUCAUAGAGCAAAACAACUCAUUUUAAAACUCAGUUGGACAUAUACAAAAAGAAAAUUUUAAAAAGUUAGUGAAGAAAAUAACUCAUUAAAAAUCAGAACUGAAGAAAUGGAAAUGAAUGAUUUGUUGAAACAUCAAGAAUCAGUCAAGCAAGACCAACAAAAUGAAAAAAUAGAAACAAUGUUAAAUAUCUACUUGGAAAAACAACAGACCUGGGAAAUAGAUCUAAGAGAGAAAAUCUAAGGAUUAUUGGGCUCCCUGAAAACCAUGAUGAAAAAAAGAGCCUAGACACUAUUUUUCAGGAAAUCAUCAAAGAGAACUGCCCAGAAGUAAUAGAGUCAGAAUAGGAAGAAUUCAUCGAACACCUUUUGAAAAAGACCCCAAAAUAAAAUUUCAGAACUAUCAGACUAAGGAAAAAAUAUUGCAAGCAGCCAGAAAAAAACAAUUCAAAUACCGAGGAGCCACAAUAAGGAUCACUCAGGAUCUAGCAGCUUCCACAUUAAAGGAUUGAAGGGCCUGGAAUCUGAUAUUCCAAAAGGCAAAAGAAUUUGGAAUGCAGCCAAGAAUAAACUACCCAGUUAAGCUGAACAUUUUCUUCCAAGGAAGAAGAUGGGCAUUCAAUGAAACAGGUGAAUUCCAUCUUUUCCUAAUGAAAAAACUAGAACUAAACAAAAAAAUUUGACCUCCAAAUAUAGCACUCCAGAGAAGCAAGCGAAGAAACUCAAGAAAAGAGAGAGCUUUCCACCAAUGAAGAGGAAAUUAGAGCAAUAAUUAGGAGUUACUUUGCUCAACUAUAUGCCAAUAAAUUUGAUAACCUAAGUGAAAUAGAUGACUACCUUCAAAAAUAUAGGCUUCCCAGAUUAAUAGAGGAGGAAGUAAAUUUCUUAAAUAAUCCCAUUUUAGAAAAAGAAAUAGAACAAGCUAUUAAUCAACUCCCUAAGAAAAAAUCCUCAGGACCAGAUGCAUUUACAUAUGAAUUCUACCAAACAUUUAGAGAACAAUUAACUCCAAUGGUAUAUAAACUAUUUGAAAAAAUAGGGAAUGAAGGAGUCCUACCAAAUUUCUUUUAUGACACAGACAUGGUACUUAAACCUAAACUAGGUAGGUUGAAAACAGAGAAAGAAAAUUAUAGACCAAUCUCCCUAAUGAAUAUUGAUGCUAAAAUCUUAAAUAAAAUAUUAUCAAAAAGAUUACAGAAAAUUAUCUCCAGGAUAAUAUACCAUGACCAAAUAGGAUUUAUACCAGGAAUGCAGAGCUAGUUCAAUAUUAGGAAAACUAUUAGCAUAAUUGACUAUAUCAAUUACAAAAACCAUAUGAUCAUCUCAAUGGAUGCAGAAAAAGCAUUUGAUAAAAUCCAAUAUCCAUUCCUAUUAAAAAUACUUGAGAGUAUAGGAAUAAAUUGACUUUUCCUUUAAAUAAUCAGUAGCAUCUAUUUAAAACCGUCAGGAAACAUCAUAUGUAAUGGGGAUAAACUGGAACCAUUCUUAGUAAGAUCAGGAGUGAAACAAAGUUGCCCACUAUCACCAUUACUAUUCAAUAUUGUAUUAGAAAUACUCACUUCAGCAAUAAGAGUUGAGAAAGAGAUUAAAAAAAUAAGAUAGGUAAUGAGGAAACCAAAUUAUCACUCUUUGCAUAUGACAUAAUGGUAUAGAGAACCCCAGAGAUUCUACUAAAAAGCUAUUAGAAAUAAUCUACAACUUUAGCAAGGCUUCAGGAUACAAAAUAAAUCCACAUAAAUCAUCGGUAUCACUAACAAAAUCCAACAGCUAGAGAUACAAAAAGAAAUUCCAUUUAAAGUAACUGCCAAUAGUAUAAAAUAUUUGGGAAUCUAUCUACCAAAGGAAAGUCAGGAACUAUAUGAGCAAAACACAAAACACUUUCCACACUUAUAAAGUCAGAUCUAACCAAUUGGAAAAUUAUUAAAUGUUCUUGGAUAGGGCAAGCAAAUAUAAUAAAGAUGACAAUACUACCUAAACUAAUCUAUUUAUUUAGUACUAUAUCAAUCAGACUCCCAAAAACCUUUUAAUGUCCUAGAAAAAAAAACAACAAAGUUCAUAUGGAAGAACAAAAGGUCAAGACUUUCAAGGAAACUAAUGGAAAAAAAAAUUAAAUGAAGGUGGCCUAGCUGGACCAGAUCUAAAACUAUAUUAUAAAACAGCAGUUACCAAAACCAUUUGGUAUUGGCCAAGAAAUAGACUAGUUGAUCAAUGGAAUAGGUUAAGUUCACAGGACAAAAUAGUCGAUAGCUAUUGCAAUCUAGUGUUUGACAAACCCAAACACCCCAGCUUGUGGGAUAAGAGUUCACUGUUUGACAAAAACUGCUGGGAAAAUUGGAAAUUAGUAUGGUAGAAACUAGGCAUUGACCCACACUUAACACUGUACACCAAGAUGAGGUCAAAGUGGAUUCAUGAUCUAGGCAUAAAAAAUGAGAUUAUAAAUAAAUUAGAAGAGCAUACGCUUGUUUACCUCUCAGACCUGUGAAGGAGGAAGGAAUUUGUGACCAAAGAAGAACUAGAGACCAUUAUUGAUCACAAAAUAGGAAAUUUUGAUUAUAUCAAAUUGAAAAGCUUUUGUACAAAUAAGACUAAUGCAGACAAGAUUAGAAGGGAAAUAAUAAACUGGGAAAACAUUUUUACCGUUAAAGGUUCUGAUAAAGGCCUCAUUUUCAAAAUAUGUAGAGAAUUGAUUCUAAUUUAUAAGAAAUCAAGCCAUUCUCCAAUUGAUAAAUGGUCAAAGGAUAUGAACAGACAAUUUUCAGAUGAUGAAAUUAAAACUUUCUAGCCAUGUGAAAAGAUGCUCCAAAUCAUUAUUAAUGAGAGAAAUGAAAUUGAGACAACUCUGAGAUAACACUACACAUCUCUUAGAUUGGCAAGGACGGCAGGAAAAGAUAUUGCUGAUUGUUGGAGGGGAUGUGGGAAAACUGGGACAGUGAUACAUUGUUGGUGGAAUUGUGAAUGCAUCCAACCAUUCUGGAGAACAAUUUGGAACUAUGUUCAAAAAGUUUUCAAACUGUAUAUAUCCUUUGAUUCAGCAGUGUUACUAUUGGGCUUAUAUCUCAAAGAGAUCUUAAAGAAGAGAAAGGGACCUGUAUGUGCCAAAAUGUUUGUGCCAGUCCUUUUUGUAAUGGCUAGAAACUGUACAUUGAAUGAUGCCCAUCAAUUGGAGAAUGGCUGAAUAAGUUGUUGUAUAUGAAUGUUAUGAAAUAUUAUUGUUCUGGUAAGAAAUGACCAGCAGGAUGAUUUCAGAAAGGCCUGGAAAGACUUACAUGAACUGAUGCUGAGUGAAAUGAGCAGAACCAGGAAAUCAUUAUACAGUUCAGUAACAGUACUAUAUGAUGAUCAAUUCUGAUGGACGUGGCUCUCUUCAACAAUGAGAUGAACCAAAUCAGUUCCAUUUGUUCAAUAAUGAAGGGAACCAGCUAUACACCCAGCGAAAGAACUCUGGGAAAUGAGUAUGAAUCACAACAUAGCAUUUUCACCUUUUGUUUGCUUGCAUUUUUGAUUUUCUUCUCAAGUUAUUUUUGGAUAUAUAUAUAUCCAUGCAAUUAUUUUGCUACUAUAUAUAUGUGUGUGUGUGUGUGUUUAACAUAUACUUUAACAUAUUUGACAUGUAUUGGUCCACCUCUAGGGAGGGAGGAAGGGGAAGGGAAAAGUUGGAACAGAAGGUUUUGCAAGGGUCAGUGCUGAAAAAUUUUUACCCAUUCAUAUAUCUUGUAAAUAAAAAGGUAUAACAAAAAACCA
Antechinus flavipes (yellow-footed antechinus) is the source of this 10574-nucleotide long non-coding RNA. RefSeq lists it as uncharacterized. The transcript has 2 exons. The record is from RefSeq and is a predicted model, not a curated record. NCBI's taxonomy places the organism in Eukaryota, Metazoa, Chordata, Mammalia, Dasyuromorphia, Dasyuridae.